AGGAAAGCAGGGGAUCGCAAGACCUUGCGCUCUUGGAGCGGCCGAUGUCUGAUUAGCUAGUUGGUGAGGUAAAGGCUUACCAAGGCGACGAUCAGUAGCUGGUCUGAGAGGACGACCAGCCACACUGGGACUGAGACACGGCCCAGACUCCUACGGGAGGCAGCAGUGGGGAAUUUUGGACAAUGGGGGAAACCCUGAUCCAGCCAUGCCGCGUGAGUGAAGAAGGCCUUCGGGUUGUAAAGCUCUUUCAGCCGGAACGAAACGGUCACGGCUAAUACCUGUGAUCACUGACGGUACCGGAAGAAGAAGCACCGGCUAACUACGUGCCAGCAGCCGCGGUAAUACGUAGGGUGCAAGCGUUAAUCGGAAUUACUGGGCGUAAAGCGUGCGCAGGCGGUUUUGUAAGUCAGAUGUGAAAUCCCCGAGCUUAACCUGGGAACUGCGUUUGAAACUACAAAGCU
Molecule: ribosomal RNA, 461 nt
Filed under: uncultured beta proteobacterium
Lineage: Bacteria; Pseudomonadati; Pseudomonadota; Betaproteobacteria
Description: bacterial SSU rRNA
Rfam family: Bacterial small subunit ribosomal RNA
Source: RNAcentral